CCCCCCCCAUCUUUUUUGGGGGGGGAAACCCCAGCAACCCGGAAGGGGGACAGCGGCGAACGGGUUUUUGACAACGUAGGUAAUGCCCCCUAAAAGCGAGGACAGCCACGGGAAACUGUGGGUAAUACUCGAUAAUCUUCCCAAUCAUUAUGGAAGGGGAAGCAAUGGGUGUGAUUCCACCUGAGGAGCGGCUUACGCAGUAUCAGCUAGUUGGUGAGGUAACGGCUCACCAAGGCUAUGACGCUUAGGGGGUGUGAGAGCAUGGCCCCCACCACUGGCACUGAGAUUUUGGCCAGACACCUACGGGUGGCUGCAGUCGAGAAUCUUCGGCAAUGGGCGCAAGCCUGACCGAGCGACGCCGCGUGCGGGAUGAAGGCCUUCGGGUUGUAAACCGCUGUCAGAGGGGAUGAAGUAUACGGGAGUUAUCUCCGGUAUUUGACAGAGCCCUCAGAGGAAGCACGGGGCUAAGUUUCGGUGCUACCAGCCGCAGGUAUAACGAACUGGGCGAAACGUUAUCCGGAAUCACUGGGCUAAAGGGUGCGUAAGCGGGUUCCUAGACAAGGGGGAAAACCUUCCGCUU
RNAcentral lists this ribosomal RNA (580 nucleotides) under uncultured bacterium. RNAcentral describes it as "partial 16S ribosomal RNA". It matches the Rfam family "Bacterial small subunit ribosomal RNA", at positions 70 to 610 of the family's 1533-position model. The record is from RNAcentral.